CCUACGGGGUGCAGCAGUGCGGAAUAUUGGUCAAUGGACGGAAGUCUGAUCCAGCCAUGCCGCGUGCAGGAAGACGGCUCUAUGAGUGGUAAACUGCUUUUGUACAAGGGAAAACCUGAAUACGUGUAUUCAGCUGAAAGUCCCGUACGAAUAAAGAUCGGCUAACUCCGUGCCAGCAGCCGCGGUAAUACGGAGGAUCCAAGCGUUAUCCGGAUUUAUUGGGUUUAAAGGGUGCGUAGGUGGAUUGAUAAGUUAGAGGUGAAAUGUCCGGGGUUAACUCGGGAACUGCCUCUGAUACUGUUGAUCUAGAGAGUAGAUGCGGUAGGCGGAAUGUAUGGUGUAGCGGUGAAAUGCUUAGAGAUCAGGAAGAACACCGAUUGCGAAGGCAGCUUA
This 393-nucleotide ribosomal RNA is filed under the name uncultured bacterium. RNAcentral's name for it is "partial 16S ribosomal RNA". It matches the Rfam family "Bacterial small subunit ribosomal RNA", at positions 338 to 728 of the family's 1533-position model. The record is from RNAcentral.